Bombus impatiens (common eastern bumble bee) is the source of this 1073-nucleotide long non-coding RNA. RefSeq lists it as uncharacterized. The record is from RefSeq and is a predicted model, not a curated record. The transcript has 2 exons. NCBI's taxonomy places the organism in Eukaryota, Metazoa, Arthropoda, Insecta, Hymenoptera, Apidae.
UCCUCUGCAGGUACUACGAUUUCAGCAUGAUCUAGUGUUAAAAAUGCAGGUUUAUUGAUAAAUAAUUAGUUAAAAUGUAAACCCUCGUAAAAAAUGUAAAUUCAACAAACACAGAUUGUAACACCACAUAUUAUCUAUUACCUUCCGUUAUAUAUGUUUUGAUCGAAAGUAAAAUAUUUGUUUAUUAUUAUUUCGUAAUAAAUGGUGAAUAAACAUGGAUUAUAUAUAUAAAACAGAACUAUGGGUAAUUCGUAAAAUUAUAGGUUAGGUUAGGAGUGAAUAACAUUCGCUACAAGACAAUAGCGUUCUCGGCACUAGUUCGCGCCCUCGAUUUGUAAAAAUCGAUAUGAGGUCACGCUAUCAUACCAACGAAUCAAAAUUGGAUAUCGAAAAGUUCUAAAUAACGAAGUUCCUGUCAGAACUCACCGAACAUUGUGCUCACAUGGACCAGCUCGGUAGAAAAUUGAGAGAGCGAUCGGAAAUUUAACCGCGUUUAACCACAGUUAAAUGACUUAUCAUCAUAGCUCCUGUAAGCAUAUUUAACGUAUCCUGUGUCGAAUAUUUGAAAAAUAUUUAAUAAUGUUCAGGUGAGCCUAUUCUAAAGAUAAAACGAAAGAAACGAAGAAGAACUAAGAAGGACUUACCUGACCGUUAUUGACCGAAAGUUAUAAUGUAGAAACCCUAAGCAUCAUGGAUAUUAAUCAUAUCAUUGGAUUCUACUUUAGAAAGUGAAAUUAGAACUCUUUCUCGGGUACAAAUCAAUAAACCAUAACACAGAAAAACCUGAAAUGUAAGAGAAAGAUGUGACCAGAGCCAAAGAAAAGUUCCUAUAGCUAAGAAAAAUAAUCCUAAUGACAUAAAAUCGUUAAAAAAAAUCUGAGAAUGAUUGUUACUUCAAAAAAAUAGAGAAAUAGUAGAAAGAAAUAUUAAUGUGAAAUAAUCAAGCAGAAUCUCGGUUCAAUAAUGAAAAUGUCUUACAAGGAAAUGUGUAAUUCUGGAAACAAAAAUUUGUGAAUCUAAUGUAUUAUAUGUAAUAAUAUAUAAACAGGCUUUAUAACUAUUAUCAUAUCAAA